This 372-nucleotide ribosomal RNA is filed under the name uncultured organism. Its description in RNAcentral is "bacterial SSU rRNA". It matches the Rfam family "Bacterial small subunit ribosomal RNA", at positions 526 to 896 of the family's 1533-position model. The record is from RNAcentral.
CGUAGGGGGCAAGCGUUGUCCGGAUUUACUGGGCGUAAAGAGCGUGUAGGCGGCCAAGCAGGUCCGUUGUGAAAACUGAAGGCUUAACCUUCAGACGUCGACGGAAACCGCGUGGCUAGAGUCCGGAAGAGGAGAGUGGAAUUCCUGGUGUAGCGGUGAAAUGCGCAGAUAUCAGGAAGAACACCAAUGGCGAAGGCAGCUCUCUGGGACGGUACUGACGCUGAGGCGCGAAAGCGUGGGGAGCGAACAGGAUUAGAUACCCUGGUAGUCCACGCCGUAAACGAUGGGUGCUAGGUGUGGGAGGUGUCGACUCCUUCCGUGCCGUAGCUAACGCAUUAAGCACCCCGCCUGGGGAGUACGGCCGCAAGGCUA